RNAcentral lists this ribosomal RNA (301 nucleotides) under uncultured bacterium. Its description in RNAcentral is "partial 16S ribosomal RNA". It matches the Rfam family "Bacterial small subunit ribosomal RNA", at positions 509 to 807 of the family's 1533-position model. The record is from RNAcentral.
CAGUCGCCGCGGGAACACAGAGGGUGCGAGCGUUAAUCGGAUUUACUGGGCGUAAAGCGUGCGCAGGCGGUUAUAUAAGACAGAUGUGAAAUCCCAGGGCUCAACCUGGGAACUGCAUUUGUGACUGUAUAGCUAGAGUACGGCAGAGGGGGAUGGAAUUCCGCGUGUAGCAGUGAAAUGCGUAGAUAUGCGGAGGAACACCGAUGGCGAAGGCAAUCCCCUGGGCCUGUACUGACGCUCAUGCACGAAAGCGUGGGGAGCAAACAGGAUUAGAUACCCCCGUAGUCCCUGUCUCUUAUAC